UACGGAGGGUGCAAGCGUUGUUCGGAAUUACUGGGCGUAAAGCGCGUGUAGGCGGCCGAUUAAGUCUGGUGUGAAAGCCCGGGGCUCACCCCCGGAAGUGCGCUGGAAACUGGUCGGCUAGAGUAUGGGAGAGGAAAGUGGAAUUCCCGGUGUAGCGGUGAAAUGCGUAGAUAUCAAGAGGAACACCUGAGGUGAAGACGGGUUGCUGGGCCAACACUGACGCUGAGGCGCGAAAGCCAGGGGAGCAAACGGG
This 253-nucleotide ribosomal RNA is filed under the name uncultured bacterium. RNAcentral's name for it is "partial 16S ribosomal RNA". It matches the Rfam family "Bacterial small subunit ribosomal RNA", at positions 524 to 776 of the family's 1533-position model. The record is from RNAcentral.